AGGUUUUAUUUACGCAGCCAAACAAAGUUCACCGCCGCCGCCUUCCCGCGCUCAGCGCCGGCAAGGGUUAAGCGCCGGGACUGGCGGGCCCCGGGACCCCCGCCUGUUGGCCGCGAGCCUCGGGACGAGGGGGCGAGCGCAGGAGUCACGUGGGCAGGCGAGAGGUCCAGCCCUGCGACGACUCCCCACCCCCACGCGACCACCCCGGGGGUGACAGAAAAGACCCAGCACUCCUGCCCCAAGUCAGGCUGUGCCCACACGUGCCCACACGUGCUCCGGGCCGACCACUGUCCCCUCCGUGUGGCAGAGGAGCUGAGCAGGCUUAUGCUUCUUGCCGGCAGGAGCCCCGCCAGGGUGUCUGCCUCGCCCAAAUGCCCCCCUGUGGGAACACGAAGGACAAUGGCGGGAGGGAACCGACCUCCACGGCCAGAAAGUGCCCCAUGGUGGCAGGGCUGUGCUCUGGAGCCCAUCCGGUCCACCCCCCCCUGCCUGUGGUCUAACCGCUGGGGCUCCCGCUGCCAAACUUGACAUCUGCAGAGGAGAUGGGAAACAGCUGGGCAGCACCCUUCACAUAAGCACUUCGGGCGCCUGGGUGGCUCAGUCGGUUAAGCAUCUGACUUCAGCUCAGGUCAUGAUCUCA
Suricata suricatta (meerkat) is the source of this 640-nucleotide long non-coding RNA. RefSeq lists it as uncharacterized. The transcript is spliced from 4 exons. NCBI's taxonomy places the organism in Eukaryota, Metazoa, Chordata, Mammalia, Carnivora, Herpestidae. The record is from RefSeq and is a predicted model, not a curated record.